AUAUUCCAGAGAAGAAAUGCAGUCAGAAGUCUUCCACUUAGUACACAGUUGAAGCCAAAGGAUGACAAGUAGAUAUAUUUGAUGGAGUCUAUCUCAAAAUGUAAUUUUCUUCUUGACACCAGAGUAAUAGCCACAAGGACACAAUUUAGCAUCUUAUCUGACAGGUGUAAAGUGUGUCUUCUUCCUCUUCACUUUCAGUAUUUUUCCUUCAAUGUAAAUUUUAGCUGAUCACUGAACAGUCUGUCAUUUUUAUUUUUAAAAGUGGGAUCCAGAUGAGCAAACACAACUCCGUGGAAGCGGUGACCUUUUUACAUGGGAGGAAAAACACUGGGGUUCAGAGCGACUUCAGACAUCCGUCUCGGAGCUCUAUCCAUUCAGCGUACUCGCAGGCGAACAGGCGUUAUCGCCCUGCACAGUGCUCAGAGCGGCUCUCCCAGACGCCUUAAUGAAGGUCGGCGGGCUGCCUCAACACUCUUCGUAGCUUCCACUGGGCUCAGCCCAAUACCCUCUCCACUCCUCCUCAACCCUCAGAGUACUCCCUACUUCCUGCAGCGCAUCGCCCCAUCGCGUUAAUCUGAGCUGCUCUCUGGAGACAAUGUGAUGCUAAUAAGUCUGGAAACUUUAAAAUGCAUGGGAAGGGUUUUUUAAUGUUAUUUCAGCUUUCACUUUUCAUUUCUGUUUGGAAAGUUAAAAGCAACCAUGUUUGCAUCCUCGCUAUGAAAUAAACAUCGAAGGAUUAAUUUUUGAGGACCAAAUUAAAGUUUAAAAUCAGAGGGGCAUUUGAAAUUGUUCCCAUCUGUGCUAUGAAAUUAGUGCCCUGGUUAUUUGAUGAAAAAAUUAGAGAUAUUGAUUAUCGGAAGGUCAAAAAGAAAGCAUCCCAUUAUAAUGUUUGGAAAAGU
Molecule: long non-coding RNA, 899 nt
Filed under: Takifugu rubripes (torafugu)
Lineage: Eukaryota; Metazoa; Chordata; Actinopteri; Tetraodontiformes; Tetraodontidae
Description: lncRNA (ENSTRUG00000026847.1)
Source: RNAcentral